CCUUUAAAAUAUAGCUAACUACUAUAUUAGCUAGUAUAUAAAUUUGCGGAGUCUAGUCCAAUUAGUUACAGAUAUCAGAAUUGAACAAAGUACCAAAUAUGGACUACAUUAGUGCCCUAAACUAGAUUACAUAAAAAUGAAAAGGGAUGUCCUAAGCUGCUGCUGCUCCAUCUUCAAAUGAGUCAAGAUUCUCAUGAAUUUAUCACGUUGAAAGGUCAGAUUCAAAGACAUAUUCAAAUGUAGGGACCUACAAUAUUACCAAGUUAAUCUUAGUAUAAAAAUGAGUAAGGGAAAAACAAUGUUGUUCAUAAGUCUAACCAUGUUGAAGGUCAGCCUUUUAGACAAACAGUGAUUUCCUAAACCAUGAUUUGUUUCAUGGCUCUCAUUUUAGUAAAAGAGGAAAUAGGGGAAGGGGAAAUAACAUAGGCAUAUACUAAAUAAAUCAAUACUAUUAUGCACUAUUAAGGGAUGAAUUUGACCAUUUAAAGGCUCAGAUUCACUUGCCUUUUGCGCUGCUAUAAGAGAGGAGUUUUGAACACAUCUUUCAUAAGUGUAUAUAUACUGAUUCAGUAGUCAAAUAUAUUGCGUUUUUACACAUAUACAUCACAAACUUUAUGAUCAAAUGCAACAAAUAUUCAGACUAACCCAUGGUUCAAUUGACUUCAACUUCAAACAGCUAUGAUUCCUAGGCUAACACCAAAAAUCAGCUAAACAAACAAGUUCAAAAAUACAAAUUCUAAACUGAAAAUUGAUUUAAUUCAAGAUGAACAUUGUACAUACCUUGAAACUAAAAGUAGGGCAGAACAGUGACCAAAUAAAGGUCAAGAAAACGAAAAGAUGAUAGAAAACUCAAACUUCAGCAAGAAACCAGCCAAACCUGCAGUAAAUCCAGACCAAAUAAAGAUAAUUUGAAACCAAGAAACCAACCAAAUGAAAACAGGGAGAUCCUAUACUUCAAACCAUAUUUUAAACUUGAAAAGAAUCAGAAAAAAUGAGAAGUUUGGAAGUUUUCUCAAGACUUCUGGAAUCUGAGCUUUUUUAGAAAAGAAGAUAGGGCUUUUUUGUAGUAAAAUGAUGAUAAAAAAUCCUCUAUUCUCAAUGGAAAAAGGCACUAUAUAUAGGGAUAUAUAAUGCCUUAUGCUGAAGGAAUUAUUC
RNAcentral lists this long non-coding RNA (1155 nucleotides) under Nicotiana tabacum (common tobacco). RNAcentral describes it as "long non-coding RNA (NTAB_LNC012602)". Lineage: Eukaryota; Viridiplantae; Streptophyta; Magnoliopsida; Solanales; Solanaceae. The record is from RNAcentral.